ACUCCUACGGGAGGCAGCAGUGGGGAAUAUUGCACAAUGGGCGCAAGCCUGAUGCAGCCAUGCCGCGUGUGUGAAGAAGGCCUUCGGUUGUAAAGCACUUUCAGUUGUGAGGAAGGUGGUGUCGUUAAUAGCGGCAUCAUUUGACGUUAGCAACAGAAGAAGCACCGGCUAACUCCGUGCCAGCAGCCGCGGUAAUACGGAGGGGUGCGAGCGUUAAUCGGAAUUACUGGGCGUAAAGCGCAUGCAGGUGGUUUGUUAAGUCAGAUGUGAAAGCCCGGGGCUCAACCUCGGAACUGCAUUUGAAACUGGCAGACUAGAGUACUGUAGAGGGGGUAGAAUUUCAGGUGUAGCGGUGAAAUGCGUAGAGAUCUGAAGG
This 376-nucleotide ribosomal RNA is filed under the name uncultured bacterium. RNAcentral describes it as "bacterial SSU rRNA". It matches the Rfam family "Bacterial small subunit ribosomal RNA", at positions 335 to 704 of the family's 1533-position model. The record is from RNAcentral.